Molecule: ribosomal RNA, 429 nt
Filed under: bacterium
Lineage: Bacteria
Description: partial 16S ribosomal RNA
Rfam family: Bacterial small subunit ribosomal RNA
Source: RNAcentral
UAGGGAAUCUUCGGCAAUGGGGGCAACCCUGACCGAGCAACGCCGCGUGAGUGAAGAAGGUUUUCGGAUCGUAAAGCUCUGUUGUAAGAGAAGAACGUGUGUGAGAGUGGAAAGUUCACACAGUGACGGUAACUUACCAGAAAGGGACGGCUAACUACGUGCCAGCAGCCGCGGUAAUACGUAGGUCCCGAGCGUUGUCCGGAUUUAUUGGGCGUAAAGCGAGCGCAGGCGGUUUAAUAAGUCUGAAGUUAAAGGCAGUGGCUUAACCAUUGUUCGCUUUGGAAACUGUUAAACUUGAGUGCAGAAGGGGAGAGUGGAAUUCCAUGUGUAGCGGUGAAAUGCGUAGAUGUAUGGAGGAACACCGGUGGCGAAAGCGGCUCUCUGGUCUGUAACUGACGCUGAGGCUCGAAAGCGUGGGGAGCAAACAGG